Molecule: ribosomal RNA, 523 nt
Filed under: uncultured fungus
Lineage: Eukaryota; Fungi
Description: SSU rRNA
Rfam family: Eukaryotic small subunit ribosomal RNA
Source: RNAcentral
AGCAGCCGCGGUAAUUCCAGCUCCAAUAGCGUAUAUUAAAGUUGUUGCAGUUAAAAAGCUCGUAGUUGAACUUCAGGCCUGGCUGGGCGGUCCGCCUUCCGGGCGAGUACUGCCUGUGGUCGGGUCCUACCUUCUGGCGAAGCGUCAUGGCCUUAACCGGCCGUGGCGGGGAACCAGGACUUUUACUGUGAAAAAAUUAGAGUGUUACAAAGCAGGCACGCGCUUGAAUACAUUAGCAUGGAAUAAUGGAAUAGGACAGUGGUUCUAUUUGUUGGUUUCUAGGACCGUUGUAAUGAUUAAUAGGGAUAGUUGGGGGCAUUAGUAUUCAAUUGUCAGAGGUGAAAUUCUUGGAUUUAUUGAAGACUAACUACUGCGAAAGCAUUUGCCAAGGAUGUUUUCAUUAAUCAAGAACGAAAGUUAGGGGAUCGAAGACGAUCAGAUACCGUCGUAGUCUUAACCAUAAACUAUGCCGACUAGGAAUCGGGCGAUGUUGACAAAAUGAACGCGCUACGGCACCUCAUAC